CAGGCUUCUUUAACUAAAAGGGAAGGGGUGUUUGCCUGGCUGUUGUGAACUUCUUGCUGCUGAAAUCCUUUGUUCCUCAACUGUCCUCCUAGGUAUGGUCACAAUGUUCCUACAAACCUUCAACAAGGCAAAUGUUAUUCUCUGUUCUGCAACUUCUUAUCUCUGUAUGAGGGGGAAAGUGUUAUACCUUAAAAGAUCGGAGCGUUGAGAUGGCUAUCCAGUAUCUCUUGGCUAUAGGCAACAUUCUUUUAGUGAUUAACUUGUAGGCAAAAGCAAUAGGAUACCAAUGUUAAAGGAAAAGAAACAGAUCCAAUAUGGAGUCAGAUUUGUUCUCUAUUACAGUGGGGGUACUCUUAGCCCCUUUGCCUUUGAGAUCUCCCCUAUCCCUGGGUGCCUCGGGCAACUGUUUAUGAGAACCAAGUGAGGUUGUUGGUGAACUCAUUUCUGAUUGUUUAUAUGAAAACAAAUACAAAGGGAAUUUGUGUUCUGGUCCUCUUGCACCCCCUUCUCUGGGGCAUCACCGUCCUAGACUCCGAAGUCAUUGUGGUUCCUGCCAUUUUUCUACCUUGACGUCUGAUGGCAGAAUGAAUGAGACCCUUUAGUGUCCUGGACUUUGUUUUCUAUAACUUGCCUUCCUCUACUAGCCACAUCAACAUGUUACAAAUUGCUUUUACAUAUUUCUUUCAUUUGAACUCUCUUCCCAACCCAGGGAUCGAACCCAGGUCUCCUGCAUUGCAGGUGGAUUCUUUACCGUCUGAGCCACCAAGGAAGCCCUUUCAUUUGAACUCAGUACCUCUGGAAAGCAGGAUUUGCACUGUUUCCACAAACUCAGUGCCAUGGAAAUAAUGAAUGAGACGAGAGAUCUUUGCUCUCUGUAGACAUUCUGGUUCCUAAGUGAUGCCAGCCAAAGGUCAAAACCGAGGUAAAUUCAAGUUUGCUUUGGCAAAACCUACCUUCUCAUUCAGAUAGCUGAGUAGGUGAUU
RNAcentral lists this long non-coding RNA (983 nucleotides) under Bos indicus x Bos taurus (hybrid cattle). RNAcentral's name for it is "lncRNA (ENSBIXG00000024870.1)". The record is from RNAcentral. Lineage: Eukaryota; Metazoa; Chordata; Mammalia; Artiodactyla; Bovidae.